This is a long non-coding RNA of Astyanax mexicanus (Mexican tetra), 677 nucleotides long. RefSeq lists it as uncharacterized. The record is from RefSeq and is a predicted model, not a curated record. Lineage: Eukaryota; Metazoa; Chordata; Actinopteri; Characiformes; Acestrorhamphidae. The transcript is spliced from 5 exons.
CUUUUCAUCCGGAACCUAGUAACUACGGAUUAACCAUUCAUGAAAACAGUUUCACCCCGGCUUUGUCUGACAAUCUACAAUUUGAUGAUGUUAAUUCUGUGACAAGUCAACAAUCAAAUGAUUACCGACCAACUACACCUAGAAACAGUCCGGGAUUGUCUGACAAUCUACAAUUUGAUGAUGUUAAUUCUGAUCUCCAACAACAAGAAGAAUGCGAACUGGACGACCUGUACGACUUUCGUUAUCUGAAAAGGGCCGUGGAAAUUUCGCUACGGAGGCUGGAACGUGCAGCUGCAAGCAGAUCACGGGAGGAGUUUAGGUUGGCUUUACCUUUGUUUACAGACCGUGUAAUGCUCUUGGUUAGACAUUGUAUUGAGGAUAUAGAUAAUAAUGUCACAGAAACGCCCCGGUUGUGAUUCUUUGUUAAAUAAGAAUAAAUCUAAAAAAUCCAACAACUCACCUUAUUCAAAUGAAACAAACAAUAACCCACAUUCAUUAAUCAGUGAACCAAGUACCUCAAACCUACAAACAAAUCAUGUAGAACACAACACAGCCCUGAACCCUUUUCUGUUAGAAAUGGUUAAUGAGAUUAAUGGUAGUAAUGAAAGGUUGACUUCUAAUAAUGAACACAGCUCUGAAAUUGUAUCUAAUCUAGAAAAUACAUCAGAAACACCAUA